RNA transcript from Scylla paramamosain (green mud crab), 8491 nucleotides. RefSeq lists it as uncharacterized. The transcript is spliced from 13 exons. NCBI's taxonomy places the organism in Eukaryota, Metazoa, Arthropoda, Malacostraca, Decapoda, Portunidae. The record is from RefSeq and is a predicted model, not a curated record.
CCUUACUGUUCAAAGCAUUUAGUGACAUAAUGGAAGAAAUAUGGGUUGUCAUUUUGGGGCAUGUACCUAAGGUCCAACUAACGGAAGUGAAGAGUGAAGCAGCUAGUGUAUCCUAAAACAAGUGAUCUUUAAAAGUUAUACGGAUACUUAUGUCUGCUCAUCUCUUCCUGAUAGGUGCAGGGACGGCCAUACCUUCUAAAUUUUGUCACAGUCACAGUCCAUAUAUCCUUAAUUUUACCCACUUCUUGCAUUAUAAUGACCCUUUUUUGGAGCACCAUGGAAACACUGGCAAAUUGGGUCACAACCUUGUGUGUGUCAUCUUCACAGCAGGUCAUGCCCAGAGGCUCAGCAAGGAAAUUGAGAAUGACCAGACUGGUAAAUAUGCACAUCUGAAGGGUGUUCCCAAAGCCCUUCUGCCCUCCCCUCAAGGCAAGAGAACUCUGGAUCACUGGUGGGAUGCCAUCAACAGACGCCAGUUAUUCAGUGAUGUCUUUUUGGUGACCAAUGCAGACAAGUAUAAAUAUUUUGAACGCUGGGCUACAGCUUCAGACUUCCCUGUUGGCAAUAUCAUAAACGACGGCUCCACCACCCCGGCUAAUAGCAUUGGGGCCUUGGCAGACCUGGAACUUGCUUUGCGCACCAAAAAUCUCUGGGAUUAUGAUAUUCUCAUCAUUGCAGGAGACAUGGUAUUCCAGGACAGCAAGUUUGAUAUUGCCCAGGUGGUUGAUUAUUUCUCACACAAGCCUGAUGGUGACCUUGCAAUCUAUUAUGAAAUGGAGGAAAAUGAGAGCACAACUUCAAGGGGGCUAGUGGAAGUCUGCCCUGAGAGUAACAGGAUUUUGAAGUUCCUCGAGAAGCCAUCCCCAGAGGAAACAGCUUCACGUAAUGCCAGUGUUGUUUUCUACACAUUUCGCAGCUCAACAAUCCAAAUGCUCUUGAAGUACCUGCAUGAAUUCCCAAAUACUGAACAGCGCACUUUUGGAGCCUUCAUGAGUUGGCUUAUAAAUGUCCAAAAUGUGAUGGUUUAUGGUAUGAAGCUGCCUACAGGCUUUCAGCUCAUUGGCCAAGUGGGCUUGAAGGAUUAUGAGUCUUGGCUAUCUUACCUCACCAGUCAGGCUGAGAAAGAAUCUAAAGACCCUAUCUACAAGAGAGCAUAUGCAAGAGUUGGUUUGAUGGGAAAUCCUUCUGAUGGCUUCAAUGGGAAGACCAUAUCUCUCUCCAUAGCUAACUUCUGGGCUGAGGUCACCAUUGUAGAGAGCCCUAAGUUGAGGCUUAUCCCACAUCCUCUUAAUGAUCCCACUGAAUUUGGCUCCAUGGCUGAUCUGCAUGGCAUCAGCACAAAGGAAGGAUAUCUGGGCGGGUUGCGUCUCCUUCAAGCUACAUGCAAAAAGUUCUACAGCUUCUGUGCAAAGAGAGGAAUUGCACUGACACGGCGCAACUUCACGCUGUCUUAUGACACCAACAUCCCACGCCAGGUUGGGUUGGCAGGCAGCUCAGCCAUUGUGACAGCUACACUGAAAUGCCUGAUAGCUUUCUUCAACCUGAGUGACCAUGACAUUCCACGGCCCCUGCAGCCACAGUUUAUCUUGGAUGUGGAGAAGGAUGAGCUCCUCAUUAAUGCAGGACUUCAAGACAGGGUGGUGCAGAUCUAUGAAGGACUAGUUUACAUGGACUUCUCUAAGACAGUGAUGGAACAACAGGGACAUGGAAAUUACAGUCAUUUAGGUGCCUUACUACCACCAAUGUUCCUGGCCUAUCGUCUUAAUCCCAGUGACUCAGGCCAGAUCCACUCCAAUGUGUCCAUGCGCUGGCAAGCAGGGGAUCAGGAAGUGAUAGCUGGAAUGCAAAAGUUUGCCGCUUUGACGGAUAAGGCAACUGAGGCUAUUCAAAGCCAGGACUGGUCUGCUUUAGCCCAGCUCAUGAAUGAAAAUUUUGAUCUGAGACGACAACUGUAUAAUGAUGCCGUCCUUGGAGAAGAGAACCUACGUAUGGUGACACUUGGGAGGAGUAUGGGAGCAGCAGUCAAGUUUCCUGGUAGUGGAGGAGCUGUGUUGGGCAUGCUUAAUGAUCAGACAAAGAUGGAGGAAGUGCGGCAUCGAUAUCAAGAAGACGGAUGUGUGGUUGUGGAGGUGCUUCCUAAAUGGCCAGAUGAUCUUUAGGAGAUACCCGUUCCUCAGUUUAGCAGUAUGAUAGCAUGCUACAAUUGCACUUCCAUCUAAGCAUCUCCUGCCACUCAAAGCAUGUGCAGGAAUACUACAGAAUAUGUUGGUUACUUCAUGAAAGAGCUUGAGUUGCCCUAUCUGAUGCAUGCAACAACUCAAUUUCGACCCGGGUGUCACUUACCUUGCUAUAGCAGGGGGCGCCACAAUUCAUUAACCAUGAAUUCUAAUAAAGUUAAUGAGAAGAGCCAAGCAAUUAAGAAAAUAGUUGGGAUCACCAUGGAGGUGAAAAAAGAGAUUGUAAGGAAAUGUUGAAAAUAAAAACAUGGCCCUGUUCAGUGACACGCCAAGUGUGUUGUUGACAUCUCAGUAGCUUGGCUGUGUUCUUUGCCUUGUCUCCGUGACAAGGCCACUACCUCUGUUUUAUUACUGUAAUCAUGUACAAUAUUUUUACUAUUGUGAUUGUUUGCCCUUUUUUCAGCUGUACUGCUAGCUUGCUUUAAAUUACAUGUUUAAAUACAUAAAAAAAAAAAAAAUCCUGAAUUUGCCCUGCUGAAAUGGGGGUGCAUUUUAUAUGCCUGUGCAUCGUAUAUGCCAUGAAAUAUGGUAUGUAUUUUAGUAUCAAGCAAUAUUUAAAUUAUUUUAUGCAACCUUAUCAAUAUACUGGAUAAUAUACCAAUAAUAAUAGGAUUUUUCAUGGGAAUGGAUAAAAAAUUUUUCCUUUAUUUCUUAUGGGAAAAAUUUGUUUGGUAUAUGUCCUGUUUGGUAUAAGUCCAAGGAUCUAGAACAGAUUAAGGAUGUAUACUGAGGUACCACUGUGCUUUAGAUUGUCAUACUUACAUACCCAGUGAAUUAGAUAUUUAAUCGUAGGAAAAAAUUAUAUGAGCCAAAAAAAUUUAAUUAUUUAGCUUAGAGAAUAAUAAUUCUUAGUCUCCAAGGAUACUAAAUUCAAAUCAACUGAUUUUCCCAGUAAACUAUCUUAAUGAUCUUUGUGGCCAGUGCCUUCACAAAUUAUAUAACCUAUAUGUGGCCUUCAUGAGAAGAAUCUUGUGGCACCACUAUAGGCCUGGGAUAUCCAUUCAAGCCUUCAUGGAAUAUCCAACAGGCUGUGCAGGACUAAUAUGUAGAAAUGAGUAAAAAUGUAUGCAUAAAUAAGACACAAAGGAUCCACAUAACCAUUGGCCUCACAUAAGUUGAUGAAAUUUGCAAACCAGUAUUUUUAAAGUAUCUUACAUGAUCGCAUCCUAAAUUACAUGCUUUGGUGACUUAUCAGCUUUACAGAGAACUCUUAUUGUGCCUUUGAGAUUCUCUUGUUUUAAAUAUCAUGUGGUAUUAUUUAUUUAGGUUACUGUAUAUGCAAAACUUUUCAUGCUUUUAUCAAUACUGAAGAAUCAAUACUGAAAUUUUCUAUAUAAAACAAGUUUCUUGAGUAUGAUGGUGUAACUGAAUUAUUGAUAAAGCAAUGUAUAAGUGAAACAGAAUUGUUUCAAGGAACAUUGUUAGGUUAUACAUAUUUUAGAUUCUGACAGUAAUAUAUGGGGCAAAAUUUUAUAGAUGGUAAUCUAUGUUUAAUUUAAAUCAUAUGCAAUAUUAGUUUAUGUUAUACAUGUGCCAGCCCAGUGAGCCAAACCUAUAAAAAGGGCCAAACAGGUGGUGGCGCUCUCUCUAUCAAUCAAUCAAUACAAACACACACUGGCUCCAGCAACUCUCCAGCUUGGCAUCCCACUAGUUCCAUCACCUCCAUAAACACCCACUGCUAAGUGUUCUUAUGUUACAUUGGGCCCUGUAUAUAUAGGUCACUUAUGGAUUAAACAACAAGUCCACAGCUAUAACACCAUAGAUGUGACAAUAUUGUAUCCUCCACCAAAGUGGCUGUUUUAGUAUGUGAGCAUUGGCCAAGAUCUUGGCUAAGUGUUUCCAGGCAGUCAUACUUUGGUCAGGAUGUCAAAGGUUUCUCUCCCUUGAUCAUAUUAUUGUCUCUACUUGAAUAAGAUGUCUUCAACUUAUCAGCUUUCAGGCAAAGAUGCUGCUUGGCCAACUGUCUCUUCUCUCUGUUGCAUCAUAACAGUACACUUGUUGAUCACUACAAACACCUAAGGUGGACUUACCUGGACUGAUUACCCAGUCUCUAUUUUUGGAUCAUGCAUUAAUCUACAGCUUAGUACAGCUUUAAGUAUUUUUUUUCUUUGCUUAAGCAACAUUCCAUACUUGUAUUGGAAUCUUGCUUCUUUAUAAUCUACAUAAGACUGCUUUUUUGUUCACUCCAGCAAGCUCCAGAAGAUUGUUACAGGUGCCAAUGACCAUCAGUCCUCUACUCCUUUAGAUGCAUUGAAAAAGAGCAAAAAAUCAGCCCAUUGGGAUAAGUGUUAUGGAAUGACCAGUGUCAAGAGUAUCAAAUGCCACAGUUCCUCCUAUAGACAAGCCUAGGAAAGGGAGAUUGUUGAUCAAAACACAUCAAGCUGUUUUUCAUGUGAAAGAAGAAUGCCAUAAAUAGGGUAAGAAAAUAUUCUCUUGGUUUAAACAAUUUUUAUAUCAUUAGAAUGCCACAAUAUCAAAGAAAUAGAUAUUAUCAGUACAUAUUUAUUUUUUUCAAAAAUUACCCCUUUAGGUAUUUAUUUACCACAGAUUUAUUUCAUGAAUAGGUAUGGACAACCCAACACAUGCUUAGAUCCUGUUAAGAUUAAAUGAAAACAAAACAUGUAACAGAGAGAGAGAGUGUGUGUGUGUGUGUGUGUGGGUGUUUUUAAUUGUAUUGUACAGGGCACAAGCCGAAGUUUAUUUUGUCCUGUCUUCAUAUCCAUAUUUAUCCAGUUUCUUUUUAAACAUGUUUGCUGCAAUCACCUGUGUGCGUGUGUGUGUGUGUGUGUGUGUAGAUUUAUAAAGAAUGGUUGAUGUAUUUAGCUUCAAGAUUAAAAUAUCAAGAAUAUUUUGGAGUUGUGAACAUGCAUUUCAUUGAUGAAUGUUAUCAUACCUCAUAUUGUUAACCUAAAUAAUAAUACACCCUAUUCAGAUAUCCAUUUCAUAUAUUUUCAUUGCCUCAUUGAGUGUUUAUCCAUAUUUUCUUGUGUUAUGUAACUACUCAAAUCAGUCUUGCAUAACAAUAUAAUUUUACAUAGAAUUCUUAGGUAUUUUUAUUUUUUUUUAUUUUACCUCAUUUGGAAAGUUAAUAUCAGUAAAGUUUAAGGAAACUGAAAUUAGUAAAAGUCUGGAGCAUAUCUGGGAUAAAUGGGUGUUGGGUGGUAGGGACCAUUGCCAUAAAAGUUGUUGUAUGAGUAAGGAGACUUGGCUGAGUAUUGGGGCCUUUGGUAGAAGGGGAAUCGAGGACGAGGGCUGCUGAAGGAGUCCGCAGGUAUGAAGGGAAAUUCAUCUGUGUAGUCAUCAUAUUGCCUCACUGGUUGAUGAGGAUACAUUUCUGACAUGGUGUCUUCUCGGAACAGACUCAGUGGUGCGUUGUUGGAUGCGUGGGAAGAAAAGACUCGUGGUCCAUUGGCAUAGUAAUUAUGAACUCCUGAAUAGUCAUGUUCCUGGAAAGACUUAAAAGGUGCUGAAUAUGGCACUGGUGGUGAUGUGUAUGAAAACCGAUGUGGAAGAUCAUCAUAUUGUUGCAUUGAAUUAUAUGAUCGUGAAGAAUAUAAAGGAGAAUAAUUAUUGUAUUUUGUCAUGUACGUAUCAUCAUAGAAGGAAGGAUUCAGUUGUUGCAGCAAUUCACGAAAUGAGAACCUUGGGGUUUUAAAUGCAUCAGGAUAAUUUCUUGGUGAUGAGAAGGUAUCAGGACCCAUGAAUUCAAGUCUGCGUGACAUGCUUGGUGAUGGCAAAUACUGAGGAGGCAGAUCAUCAUCCAAGACUUCAUUUAGCAAGGUAAAUGGGUUCCUCAUGAUGGGUGUUUUCAGGGAGCGACGGGGCAGAGGACGUGAAAAAGACAUGUCUUCAUCCAUGUGGUCAAAGAAUGCUGGAGUUUUUCUUCUUAGGAGCUUAUCGCUGAUGGAAAAAUAGGUUUUAGGGAAGAGUUGAUCUGAAGUCCCAUGUGGCACCCAAAAAGGUUUUGUGGGCUGGUUCUCUGCAUACUUGAUGACAGGCUCUUGAGGUUCGUGAGUGUUGACAUAGUCAUCAACCAUGGGUGUGAUGGGGAAGUCAUCAAAAUUUUUUCUGGUAUCUUUGAAAACAAUGAUAUUCAUGGCAUCAUUUUCAAGGCUAUCUGAUACAUAAUCUCUCCUCAAUGGUGAAAUUUUGUCAUCCUCUGCAUCCAAGUUUGAUGUAGCAUCCAUCAUUAUGGAUUUUGCACCACUCCAGGGCUCAACCUGGUCCUCUCUUACAAUUUCCCUCUUCAAGAUGUCUAAUAGAGAGGGGUAAUUCAUCUCUGGCUCUACAUCUGCAAUGUAUGUUGGUUGGCUCUCCAAGAUGGUAACUGGUAUGUCUUCUCCCAGGUACUCUGUUUGGUCUUCAUUGCUAUUCUCAGCAGGCCAUAACAAACUAGAUCUUUCAUCCUUAAAUGGAGGAUACUCAGGGAACAGAAUAUCACCAAACAUUUCUGUAUCUGGCUGAUCUUGUUCUUCAUCACCCAGAUAAGUUUUCAUUUCUGGUUCCACAUGAAAAAGUCCAUCAUUCAAUGAGUCUUCCUCAUUGAGAGGAACUAGUUCCUCCCCUCCAUCCUCUGAAUUGCUGCUCUCAGGAUAUUCUUGUGGGAUAUCUGUGAAAGCUGGGUCAUCAUUUAUUGGGAUAUAGAAGUCAGCAAAUGACACAUCACCAGCACCAUCCUCUGUCUCAAAUGGUACAUCAUCAGCAGCCUCCUCUGUCCCCUCAAAUGUAAUUGACUCCAUAUUCUCAUUGUCCACCACUUCAUGUUUGUCUUCCAAGUAUGAGUCAUCAGAACUAACUGUGCCAUCAAAAGUCUGAGCAGCAAAAUUAGGUUCCUCCCAGUAUGGAAUCUGGUCCAGCUCUUGAGACUCAGACUGCAUCUCAGGUUCACCAUCAAAGGAAUCCUUUUCUGACAUGUCAUCAUGAUAGCUGGUGAUAAAAGGUGGUUCAUCAUAGUCUAAUGACUCAUCAAAAUAAUCAGGGACAAGCCAGCUGAAGAGGUCCACUGGACUGUCAUCUUGUGAUUCAUGGUACAAUCCCUCAACUGGACCAUCAUCAUGUACUGAAGGCAUAUCUCUUCCCCAGUGUGGUGGGUCUUCCCUCAUAUUCAAUCCAUCAUCAUAGUCUGGUUGUUCUCCCAUCAUAGGGGAUCCAGAAUCAUAGUCAUCAGACCUAAAAAGUCCCUCCAUCUCAUGUGGCACUUCUUCAUACUCUGAUUUCAGAGGCUCCUCAAUAAAUGGGAAAGAAUCCACUAGACUGGGCCCAAGAAAUUCUCCAGAAUCAUUAGGGAAUGAAUCCUCCUGUGAUUGAACUGAAACAUCUUCCAUUGGUAGUUCUUCAUGUUCAAAAGGAAAGGAAUCCAUCUUUGGCUCAAAAGAGAAUUCCUCUUCAUCAGAAUCAUAUGGAACAGGUUCCAUCUGUGGUUCUUCUGGGUUGGGCAGGAAUGGCUCUUCCUCCUGAUUGAAUGGGAGUGGGAUCAUCCUUUGCUCAUACUCAAAUGUACCUUCUGUAUCCAAGGAAAGAAGCUCCUCAUCCGCCUCCAACACCACAUAUCCUUCAUCUGUCUCACCAGGGAAUGUUUCCAUCUGUUGAUCAGAAUUAAAUUCAUCUUGCUCAAGUUCUUCAGAUUCAUAUGAGAGAUUUUCUUCUUGUGGAUACACUUGUAUGAAUGGUGGCUCAGGCCUUAUUUCAACUACUGAAGGCUCUGAGUCUUUACCUGGUACCUCACCUUCUGAUACAUGAGGCCCCUCACUUGAGUCUAUCUCAGGACCUUGUACAUGUGGCUGAGGCUCUGGUAGGUCUUGUGGCUGUGACUCUUCUUGUGGUGGGUCUUGUGGCUGGGGCUGCUCUUGUGGUAGAUCCUGUGGCUGUGGCUCCUCUUGUGGUGGGUCAUGUGGCUGUGGCUCCUCUUGUGGUAGAUCCUGUGGCUGUGGCUCCUCUUGUGGUGGGUCUUGUGGCUGUGGCUCCUCUUGUGAUUGGUCUUGUGGCUGAGGUUGUGAUGAGUCUUGUAGCUGUGGCUGUGUCUGUGGAGGGUUUUGUGGCUCUGACUGUAAUUCUACCUGUAGGUCUUGUGGCUGUGGCUGCUCCUCCACUUUGGUUGGCACAAUAGAGGGUUUGUCAUCUCUUGUCAGUGCAAGGUCAUUUUCCUCAGGGUUAGAACUGAGAAUAAUUUUAAGUAAAUCACUGGGGGAUGGUGGCGCCUGCUUCAGCACAGGGAGGGCAGCCACAACUGCCAGUCCUGCCACCAGUAGUAUCAC